This 170-nucleotide non-coding RNA is filed under the name human gut metagenome. The record is from RNAcentral.
UACCUACCAUACAACAGGUACGAAAAGGGAAUCAGGUGUGAGUCCUGAGCGAUCCGGUCACUGUAUUCGGAGAGUCUGUUUUCAAAAUCCCAUUGCAUAACCCAAUCAUACAUGUGAGAAGGGGAGGACAGACGUUGGUAUCCGUAAGUCAGGAAACCUGCUUGGUAUAU